GCCGUGAUGGCACUCAGCUCCCUGCGUUCGUGGAUCAUUUCUUCCCCGAGGGAGGGCACCUGAGGGCGGGGCAAGGGUGAAGGAGGCCGAGACAGGUUAUGGUGAGAUGGGGAAACACGGGGAUGUGAAUAAAUGCAGGGAAGGCACCAGGACAGUGGUCGGAGGGCCUGAGGUCCUCAGCUGCAAGAGGCCGGGGCUGGAAUCCAGACCAGGGGCGGAGCCGGAAGAAUGCGGGACGCCCCGGCUCACGCCAGGACGAGAGGAGGCAGCUAGAGGAAGCACGGUGGUCCCAACCCCUCGUCCUCCGCCCAUCCUCAGCUUCCCGCGCUGGGAGCCAGGAUGCGGGGGCGGCUCUGCCUGCUUCCCUCUGCUGGCACGUCGAGGAAACUGCAGGUCGGCUGCUGCGCGGUCCUCCAAGCUCCACCCUAAGUGCCCCAGCGGAGUGCAAGUGCGCAAGGACCGCUGCGUCCCCCCGCUCAAGGAGCCGAGGCCCAGGAAGGAGAAGGAACCGCUCUGCGUCUUAAAGCACGUUAGUGGGCUCGAGUCCGCUCCACCCACGGCCGCCCGAGGUGCUCGGCGGCCUCGGAGAGCGCCCCCUUGUGUUCAUCCGCGGGCGUCGCAGAAACUCGUCCGCCUCAGCCCGCGCCGGACUCCGCAGCUGUCUCCCUCCCAAAGGCGGUGGAGUCCCGAGAACUUGAGCCCAGGAGUUUACAGGGAACUGCCUGCAACCGGACGUAAUCAUAUUAAGCAAACUGAUUCAGUCUCAGGAAUGGAAAUACGGCAUUUCCCCCUGUGGGUUCUAGAUGUUAUAUUGAUGCAUAAAAUCACACAAACAGAUGAUGUGGAAACAGAAACCUCGCUCUCCGGGCCUAGGGGCCCAAAAGGGGACUGGUGCAAAGAGGAGGGGCUGGACAAGGGAGAGAAGCGGGACACAGCGACAGGAUGUGCUCACAUCGCGUACUUUCACGAAGAUGGCAACAUAGCAAACAAACACGACUCGCCAUUAACAGGUCAGUAAGGGACCCGUCCAGGCAUUGAGACUUCCAGGUUCAGGGUGCUCAGGAAGGAGAAAACAAGACAGACGUCCUUGAGGAAGGUCAGGCCCCGGAGUUCUGCUCACCUUAGUGACCAGAGAGUCAGCAGAGUGGGAGACUGAGGGUGUGCGCUCAGGAGCUGCGGCUCUGUUCUCCGCCAUGAGUCCAGCCAAGCGGGACUGCUCUCUGGCUUCAAGAGCAAAGACACCCUCCGGCCAAAG
Molecule: long non-coding RNA, 1255 nt
Filed under: Meriones unguiculatus (Mongolian gerbil)
Lineage: Eukaryota; Metazoa; Chordata; Mammalia; Rodentia; Muridae
Description: lncRNA (ENSMUGG00000023665.1)
Source: RNAcentral